This is a long non-coding RNA of Mauremys reevesii (Reeves's turtle), 507 nucleotides long. RefSeq lists it as uncharacterized. The transcript is spliced from 3 exons. Lineage: Eukaryota; Metazoa; Chordata; Testudines; Geoemydidae. The record is from RefSeq and is a predicted model, not a curated record.
GCCAAGGGAAAGCAGCUGAAUCCUUCUCCCAGCCAGGGGGAGAGUCACCUCUCUGUGAUGCUUUGAGGGUAUUUAGUUGGAGGGUUUAGGCAGGGUUGGGCUUUUCCCUCGACCAGACCUGCACAACAAGCAGCCCGGGGGCUGCAUGCGGCCCACAUGGGCUCACUACGCGGCCCGCGGAGGGUUCACCCCGCAUCCUGCCCAUUAACAUCCCUGAGGAUAGGGAAGGGGAAUGAAAAGGAUGGAAAAAUUAGGUGAGAUCCUAAAGAGAAACCCACCAGGAAUAUGCAGGAAGUCAAGUUACUGGGCCUGAUUCUCCCAUCAAACUGCGUCAUCAGUGACACCAGUGCCGAACAAGUGCAAAACACCUCCCAUUCUGAGUCAGAAACAUUUUACACCCCACUUUGCCCUGGCGUAAACACCUGCAUGAGGUUCAGGAAGAAUCAGACUCAUCAUUGUCUUUUUACAGCCAAGAAGGAUCAUUCUGAUCCCCCCCCCAGUCUGACC